UCUCACGCUGGCAUUGGUUU
This 20-nucleotide unclassified non-coding RNA is filed under the name Mus musculus (house mouse). RNAcentral describes it as "oocyte_clustered_small_RNA8913". The record is from RNAcentral. Lineage: Eukaryota; Metazoa; Chordata; Mammalia; Rodentia; Muridae.